UAAAAUAAAUUUUGAAAACUUGCACACAGAAUCGAGUCUCUUUAAGAAGAAACUACAUGCGAGCUAGCCACGUAAUGAUCGAGACUUGUCAACAUAUCACAUAAAACUAUUUAUAGUGUUAUAUAUAUAAUAUGGUAUGUUUUAAUAAUGUUGGAAAUCUAUAUUUAGUGCUAUAAUUAAUCAUGUACGUGCGUUUCUGUGUUGCAAAGUUUCCUCUAGAACUAUCGAUCAGAAUCUUGACUAUAAAACUAUACUUUAAUUGUUAUUAGAUCGAGUCAUCGAGAAUAUUAAGAUAACACACACAUGCAUAUGUAAAUAUGCAAAACCUAAAAAAAUAGUAUCAAAGUAUUUUAAGAAAACAAAGUGACUCGAUAGCCGUAAGAGAAGGCCAGCUCCUACUCAAUUGCAUGAAACCUAUCUUUAAUGUUCUCUUGCCACGAACUCUUCUCUUUUGUCUCCUUCUUUACUCUACACAUCAUCAUCUCUUUUU
This 490-nucleotide long non-coding RNA is filed under the name Capsella grandiflora. RNAcentral describes it as "long non-coding RNA (CGRA_LNC001155)". The record is from RNAcentral. Lineage: Eukaryota; Viridiplantae; Streptophyta; Magnoliopsida; Brassicales; Brassicaceae.